Molecule: ribosomal RNA, 253 nt
Filed under: uncultured bacterium
Lineage: Bacteria
Description: partial 16S ribosomal RNA
Rfam family: Bacterial small subunit ribosomal RNA
Source: RNAcentral
UACGGAGGGUGCAAACGUUGCUCGGAAUCAUUGGGCGUAAAGCGCACGUAGGCGGCUCGAUAAGUCGGGUGUGAAAGCCCUCGGCUCAACCGAGGAAGUGCAUCCGAAACUGUCGGGCUUGAGUACUGGAGAGGAUGACGGAAUUCCCGGUGUAGAGGUGAAAUUCGUAGAUAUCGGGAGGAACACCAGCGGCGAAGGCGGUCAUCUGGACAGAUACUGACGCUGAGGUGCGAAAGCGUGGGGAGCAAACAGG